This 201-nucleotide ribosomal RNA is filed under the name Lactobacillus sp. L5gt. RNAcentral's name for it is "partial 16S ribosomal RNA". It matches the Rfam family "Bacterial small subunit ribosomal RNA", at positions 328 to 526 of the family's 1533-position model. Lineage: Bacteria; Bacillati; Bacillota; Bacilli; Lactobacillales; Lactobacillaceae. The record is from RNAcentral. RNAcentral also lists the same sequence under 1 other name.
ACUGCUGCCUCCCGUAGGAGUAGGGGGAAUCUUCCACAAUGGACGAAAGUCUGAUGGAGCAACGCCGCGUGAAUGAAGAAGGCCUUCGGGUCGUAAAAUUCUGUUGUCAGAGAAGAACGUGCGUGAGAGUAACUGUUCACGUAUUGACGGUAUCUGACCAGAAAGCCACGGCUAACUACGUGCCAGCAGCCGCGGUAAUAC